This 243-nucleotide ribosomal RNA is filed under the name uncultured bacterium. Its description in RNAcentral is "partial 16S ribosomal RNA". It matches the Rfam family "Bacterial small subunit ribosomal RNA", at positions 92 to 334 of the family's 1533-position model. The record is from RNAcentral.
CGACCGGCGCACGGGUGAGUAACACGUAUCCAACCUGCCGUCUACUCUUGGCCAGCCUUCUGAAGGAAGAUUAAUCCAGGAUGGGAUCAUGAGUUCACAUGUCCGCAUGAUUAAAGGUAUUUUCCGGUAGACGAUGGGGGUGCGUUCCAUUAGAUAGUAGGCGGGGUAACGGCCCACCUAGUCAACGAUGGAUAGGGGUUCUGAGAGGAAGGUCCCCCACAUUGGAACUGAGACACGGUCCAA